Molecule: ribosomal RNA, 505 nt
Filed under: uncultured bacterium
Lineage: Bacteria
Description: partial 16S ribosomal RNA
Rfam family: Bacterial small subunit ribosomal RNA
Source: RNAcentral
GACGAACGCUGGCGGCGUGCCUAAUACAUGCAAGUAGAACGCACAGUUUAUACCGUAGCUUGCCACACCAUAGACUGUGAGUUGCGAACGGGUGAGUAACGCGUAGGUAACCUGCCUGGUAGCGGGGGAUAACUAUUGGAAACGAUAGCUAAUACCGCAUAAUAUUGAUUAUUGCAUGAUAAUUGAUUGAAAGAUGCUAUUGCAUCACUACCAGAUGGACCUGCGUUGUAUUAGCUAGUAGGUGAGGUAACGGCUCACCUAGGCGACGAUACAUAGCCGACCUGAGAGGGUGAUCGGCCACACUGGGACUGAGACACGGCCCAGACUCCUACGGGAGGCAGCAGUAGGGAAUCUUCGGCAAUGGACGAAAGUCUGACCGAGCAACGCCGCGUGAGUGAAGAAGGUUUUCGGAUCGUAAAGCUCUGUUGUAAGAGAAGAACGGGUGUGAGAGUGGAAAGUUCACACUGUGACGGUAUCUUACCAGAAAGGGACGGCUAACUACGUG